CCGGCCCUGCGGUACGCGGCGAUCGCCCGCUCGUUGUAGCCGAACGCGAGCAGCUGGAUGCGCCGCAGGUUCAGCUCGGUGAACCCGU
This 88-nucleotide transfer RNA is filed under the name Actinocatenispora sera. Its description in RNAcentral is "tRNA-Tyr". The record is from RNAcentral. Lineage: Bacteria; Bacillati; Actinomycetota; Actinomycetes; Micromonosporales; Micromonosporaceae.